CUUAACAAUCAAGGCUACGGUUGAUUACUGUAUCUAAGAAGGUGAAAUCAAGAAGAACCAACCGGUUAUUUUCUUAAAAUCAUCAGUUGUCCACACGACCCUCCUACCCAAGCUGGGAGCGUCGACACGGCUGAUUAUCCUCCUAAGAAGACUACUCUCACAGAACGAGUGCAAGGAAACAGACAACCAAGAGAAAGGACAUUGUGACAUUGUGUGGACAAUCAGAGACUUACACCCGGUAACGAUGGAGACGCGGCCAUCGGAAGAAAAGGGCAUUGGCCAAACCUAUGCCAAUAAUCGGAACUCGGUCCACGAAAAGAUACCCAACGGAGACCUUCAACAAACCACAAUUCAUAACUGAGCUUGCACAAAAAUGAACUCUUCCAACCAUUCCACUGUCCUCUCUGGCUAUCUGGAGUCAGUUUACACUUUAAAAACUGCCUGCUAUGCAAUCAACCUCAUCCUGAGUCUACCCACCAAUGGCUAUGUCCUGUGGCUGAUACUGACCGGACCCGGAGGGACGAUGGCCUCAGAGUUCUUCGCUCUCAACUUGGCUGUAUCUGAGAUUCUCUACUGCCUGUGUGCUGUCUUUGUCUUUGUCUACAUACACCUCCCUAUUCCCAAUAUCCUAGCUCUACUUACAUUCUUUAGUGGUUUUAUAUACCACGGCCGCCCCCUGUUCCAGUGCUGUAUAUGUUUUGAGCGCUACCUGGCAGUUGUCCACCCUGUGGUCUUCCUGAAGUACAGACCCCUGAAAUACAAGGUGCGGUGUUCUGGAUUGGUUUGGCUGCUUUUGAUUGGGUUCUGUUUUAAUUCUUUGCUUGUAAAAGACCAAAUUGUCAUAUGUUAUGUGUCUUUCAGUGAAGUUCUGGUCUUACUUUCAUUUAUGUUAUUCUGCUGCCUCUCAGUUCUCAGGGCUUUGAAACAGCCUGGGCCAGGGGAAGGGGAGAGAGAGAGGGAGGGGACAAAUAACAUGAAGAUGAGGGCAUUUAAGAUAAUUUUGAUUAUCACGGUGUCUAUGAUGGCAAACUACCUUCCAUUGGUAGUGGUUUUACCUUUAAUUGGAGUACUAGAUUCUGGACAGUUUUUUUAUGCCAAAUAUGUGUGUUUCUACAUCAGUGUGCUCAGUGGGUUUGUGCAGCCUCUCCUCUACCUCCACAGGGCUGGGAAACUGCCCUUCAUCAAAGGUCUCUGAGGGAGAGUUUAUAUUCCCAGUUUCAUCUGAUACACAGGGCCAAAUGUAACCUGUUUACAACUGUUUUGUGAUAGCUUGCAAAGAG
RNAcentral lists this long non-coding RNA (1280 nucleotides) under Salmo salar (Atlantic salmon). RNAcentral describes it as "lncRNA (ENSSSAG00000085581.1)". The record is from RNAcentral. Lineage: Eukaryota; Metazoa; Chordata; Actinopteri; Salmoniformes; Salmonidae.